This 492-nucleotide ribosomal RNA is filed under the name uncultured bacterium. RNAcentral's name for it is "partial 16S ribosomal RNA". It matches the Rfam family "Bacterial small subunit ribosomal RNA", at positions 29 to 507 of the family's 1533-position model. The record is from RNAcentral.
AGUGAACGCUGGCGGUAGACCUAACACAUGCAAGUCGAACGGCAGCACAGUAAGAGCUUGCUCUUACGGGUGGCGAGUGGCGGACGGGUGAGGAAUACAUCGGAAUCUACUUUUUCGUGGGGGAUAACGUAGGGAAACUUACGCUAAUACCGCAUACGACCUACGGGUGAAAGCAGGGGAUCUUCGGACCUUGCGCGAUUGAAUGAGCCGAUGUCGGAUCAGCUAGUUGGCGGGGUAAAGGCCCACCAAGGCGACGAUCCGUAGCUGGUCUGAGAGGAUGAUCAGCCACACUGGAACUGAGACACGGUCCAGACUCCUACGGGAGGCAGCAGUGGGGAAUAUUGGACAAUGGGCGCAAGCCUGAUCCAGCCAUACCGCGUGGGUGAAGAAGGCCUUCGGGUUGUAAAGCCCUUUUGUUGGGAAAGAAAAGCAGCAGGUUAAUACCCCGCUGUUCUGACGGUACCCAAAGAAUAAGCACCGGCUAACUUCGUG